Molecule: ribosomal RNA, 485 nt
Filed under: uncultured bacterium
Lineage: Bacteria
Description: partial 16S ribosomal RNA
Rfam family: Bacterial small subunit ribosomal RNA
Source: RNAcentral
AUUGAACGCUGGCGGCAGGCUUAACACAUGCAAGUCGAGCGGGGGAAGGUAGCUUGCUACCGGACCUAGCGGCGGACGGGUGAGUAAUGCUUAGGAAUCUGCCUAUUAGUGGGGGACAACAUCUCGAAAGGGAUGCUAAUACCGCAUACGUCCUACGGGAGAAAGCAGGGGAUCUUCGGACCUUGCGCUAAUAGAUGAGCCUAAGUCGGAUUAGCUAGUUGGUGGGGUAAAGGCCUACCAAGGCGACGAUCUGUAGCGGGGCUGAGAGGAUGAUCCGCCACACUGGGACUGAGACACGGCCCAGACUCCUACGGGAGGCAGCAGUGGGGAAUAUUGGACAAUGGGGGGAACCCUGAUCCAGCCAUGCCGCGUGUGUGAAGAAGGCCUUAUGGUUGUAAAGCACUUUAAGCGAGGAGGAGGCUACUUUAGUUAAUACCUAGAGAUAGUGGACGUUACUCGCAGAAUAAGCACCGGCUAACUCUGUG